UUCAGUUUGUUACAGAGCGAUUAAGAGAGAGUGAGAGAUUCUUGGGGUUGGGCAGUGAGAGAGAGAGCUUGAGAACAAGUUUGUAAAGGAUACGUUAUACACCAAGUUUCUAGUGGAUUCUGGAGAAGAUUCUCCGGCGAGAUGUAGGGAAUCCGGCAAGGAUCCCGAACUCGUUAAAUCUGUGUGUUCUUGCUUUUGUUCUUCUUUUGAUUCAUUCCGAGAUCUCAUCACAAAGAUCGAUUCAAGUAUUGGUGAGCUCAGUUCGAUUAUAAACCUUCACAAAUUGGUAUCAGAGGCUCUUCGAUUUCAUGGAAGACGGUGAAGUCGUGAAUCGGAGGAUUUAAAUUAUUCAACAUCGCGACUUAGGAGAAGAAAAUAAGAAGAUGUUGCGAUGUCAAGAACGAUGGAAGAAGUGAACUUGUGACUGUUCUUGGAAGAAGACGUGGUAAGUUGAAGAAAGAAAAUCAAUGGAGUUAUCCCAAUCAGAUCAAAUGAAUGAUUUCUGGUUUGUGAAAUCAGUUGAAUCGUAAGUUAUUCUCUCUCUAAGAAUCAGAAAUUUGACAUCUAUGUUAGUUCUAGUUCAAGAAUUUGCUGGGAAAUCACGACAAGUAUAAGAUCGUUGUAGUCUGGAUCGAAGCACAAGACAUCAUCAAGACUCAAAACUUUGUGAAAUUAAGUAUGCAUCCGCUGCAAGUCGCAAGGUUAGUUGUGAUGUUAUGAAAUCUUCAAGUCUGUAAAGAAAAGAGCCAAGAUUUGUUAAAGCACAAGUUUGUGUGCAAGGUUUUUAGCUAAGAUUCGAAAGCAUCUGUUGUGGGAGUUUUUUUUAUUCAAACUUGGGUUCAAGAUUAGUAAAGAACAGUUAUUGGAAGCUCAUAAAAGUCUAAGAACUAGGGGACGCCUUGGUUGCUUGAUUGGUAUAUGGGUUCAUGGUUGUUUGGACAUCAGGUUAAGGCUCAGCAUUUAAAGACAGAAAUUGCAGGAUUAUUCAGGAAUAAUCAGGGAGUUUGCUUAGUAAAGUAAGUUGAUGAUUUAGAGGAUUUCAAGUAUUUGCCAGAGUUUUGAGAAAUAGUUUGUCAAAAGUUAAGUCUCAGAGUUAGUUAUCAGAUUCUUAAAAGAUCGCAAGGACUCCAAGUAUAUGGUGAUCAAAGGUUUGAACAUAGGUCAUCAAUGAGUGAGUGGCAGCUAGGACAAUCCAAAGAUGGAGAAAAACAGGGACACCAAGAAGUAACAAACAAAUUCUCAACUAAAGAUGGAGAAACAUCUUGUGUAAGUAAAUCAAGAUGUGACCGGCAUAAGCCAGUAAGAAUAAAACCAAGGAAAUGUAAAUUGGUUAUUGGUUCUUAUGGCUCAAGUCUGAGAGUCAAGAAGAAAAGUGGAUCAGCUGGUUAUAGGAAUAUCGAGACAUGAAGACUCAAGUUUAAAGGCAUUGUUCGGGUGUUUCUACAGCUAUAACAAGUUAACAGUUGGUCUGUUGGUCUAUAAGACAGACUAAAGUAUUCAAUCUGAAAUCAUAAAAUCAGAAUGAGAGAGCUUCAUUAGAAGCAAGUGGUUCUUGGAGAGUCUUCUAGAUAUUAAAGAGACUGUUGGUGUAGCUACAAAGUGGAAAGAAUUAUAGAUAUAUCAAGUGUUAAUGUCUAUACAGUCGAGCACACAGAGAUUUAUGAUUGAGAAUCAUAAGAGACAGUGAUGAAGAGGUUGUUAGCUCAGCAAGUUAGAACAAAUGUUGAGAGAUACAAGUAAUUAUGAAAGAUCUAAGUUUCCGGUGGAGCCACUAGUGUUACAGAAAUGUGAUACAUAUUCAUGAAGAUGGUUUGUGAUUCCAUGUGGAGCUAUACAAUUAAAGAGUAUCUCCAGUUAACUUAAGUGCGGAGACAUGGGCUGAGUAAACAGGUUUAUCAACUCAUCAGGUUUGAUUUAUGAGAAGAAAUUAGUUACUGUUUGGGUAUGAUUCAGGUUGGUCAAGUGUGUGUGUUGAAGACAGAGGUUCGAGAACAGGUUAAGAUGUCAGAAAGGUUCAAGCAUAAUCAUGUUGCAACAGGAGUGAAGAAUAAAGUUUUCAGGGGGACUGUUGGAAUAUAAUUGAGUUUCUUAGUAAUGUUUUAAGUUUUAACUGAUUUCAUGCAUUAAGUGACGUGUCUUUUACAUGUGUGAAGAGUUACAACUCUUAGUUUGUGUUGUUUCAUGUUGUGUCUUUCCUAGUCUAUAUAAAGACAUUGUCUGUAAACUACAUUCAGUUUUCAUAUUAAUAAAGUUGUGUUUUCUGAGAAAGAGAAUAUCGUUUCUCAUACUCUGUUUUCUUCCUUAUUGUCUUGAGAAUCAAAGAUCAACACUAACGAAGCGAAGCGGGAGGCUGAGAGGCUGCAGAGGAUUGUACUAGCGAAAAUGUAUAAGUCUGAGGAGGAAUACGCAACGCAAGUAACAGAGGCUGAGCGAGGCCGAGGCAGAGACGCAGUAUCUGUUUGAGAAGAUUAAGCUGCAGGGAUAUUCGUCCCGUCACAGGUGUUGAUGUACUCAAAGAUCUCUGCUUCAAGGAUACAAUCUCUCGCCCAAUCCAAUCCUUGAGGGUAUGAAUUUUAUUUUUCUUUUCUACAACUCUUUCAUUAGCUUUGAGCUAAUCUAACUCUGAUUCUCUGGUAAGAACUCCUUGUUUUGAUUAGUCUCUAGGUAGCAGCAACUUUCAAUCCCUAAACAUCAAUCUCUGUUAGUGCAAGAUAUAUACUCCUAUCUUGACUUUGAAAAUAAAUGUAUAGAUAGUGAUUGUGCUAAACAGAGAAACCAAAAGUUUGGAUAUUCCAUCUUGGAUCUUGAACUCGGGGAACACAUAUAUGGUUUCCAAUGACCUUGAAACUGAUCCGCCGAGUCAAGCAAGACUAAAGCAGAUAAUAUGGAAGAAAAACGAAAGCUCAAGAGUUUUACAAAGCAUUCUUAACACAGCUCAAGUCUCAUGUGAUGUCAGAACAACUUUCGCUGAAAAGCAGCUGCAGAUGGUGAUUUACGGUGAAGGCAGCAACGAGCGAGUCUUAAAGAAUCGGAUUGGUAAUAAGAGUCGGCAACAGGAUCUAUUGUCCUGAGGAGUAGGCUUUUUUUGCAAAAUUGCGAGCAGAUUGUAUAGUGGAAAUGACCAAUUCUUUGACACAUUGGGCAGAUUAUCAUGACAAAGAUUUCUCAAAAUCAAACAUUUAACUUAAUUAAAAGGUUUUUUUUUUUCAAGUCAUAAAUAGAGCAUGGCAAGCUUAAAGUUACAAAACAAUUCGAAAACACAUUGUCCAGGGAACAAAGGAGAAGGAGAUAUUUGCUAGACAUAGGUGAAGAUUUUUAGUUUUGCCUUUUCGAAAUUGAUUGGAGCUGCUUAGCUAUGGCGAGCAAGGUGCAAAGCAUUCCAACCUAUAGGAGCAAGAAACAAUCAACCAUCACCAUCCAUCUAAAUAGCUACUGCUAACUAAUUGAUAUAUACACACACACUAGAGAGAGAAUAAUCAAAAGUAAAUGGACACCGUUAUAUACCUUAAUGGUGUGACUAAGGCAUGGAGGUUGAAGUGGUAACAAUAUCAGACGACACAUUUUCCUGUUAAAUGAUUCCAUAUAUAAGUUAUAAGAGCCUAUAGAUGACACAUCUUUUUCAAUUGCAAAUUAAGGGUAAACUAUAUAACCUGAAUAUCAUCAACUUUGGUCUGAUACUGAUCUGGUCCCUUGGAGUUAUCAAGUUUUUGCAUACAUAUAGAACAAACUGGUGAGGCCAACCUGCAUAAGAGCAAGAACACUACCAUUAGCGUAUAUCGACAAUAAAAGCCACACAUUAGAAGAAAGAUGAUAAAAAUGAAUGUAUACUUUUUGGCGGUGCGACGCUUUUCACGACGACGAGAACGAGAGUCCGCCGCAUUUAAUACCUGUUGUUAUAAAUUUUACAUAGUUAAGAAACAAAUCAAUCAAUAAUAAAAAUUAAAAAAUGGCCCUAGGGACGACAUAAAUUACUUCUCAAUUCCGAUUUUACAAAAUCAAACCCCAAAAUGAAAAGAAAUUCAAUAACCUUCGUUAUCCUCUCAUGCCGAUCCUUUCUCCCUCGCAUUGUGUUUCGCAUUGCUGUGCCUCCUUCAAAACUCUCCUUGUGGGUGCUGGAAACCCUAACAAAUUAUAUAUAUAUAUAUAUACAAUUUGGGCCUUUAUAUAAAACCUUCAACUCCUUAUCCGGCCCAAACUACAUCUUUCUCUGAUUUAUUACCAACAGAAACUAAAUACAACAACUUAUGAUUAUACUAGACUCAUGGGUUGCAAGGAUUUUUGAUUGGUAAGUUUGUUUUCAAAUUUAAUUACCUUUAUUUAUUUAGAGUGUCUUUUUGAUUUUUUUUUCCUAAAUAUAUAAUUUGCAUGAAGAAUUAUAUAAGUAUAAUAUUUUGUAGAAGAAUACUUAUGUGCUACCCUCAAAUAUUACACGCAAUGAAAAAAUGAACAUCACAAUGUCUAACUGAUGCGGCGGAUAAAUACGAAAGAGAGGGCUCAAGUAUCGAUGGAUCAAGAGUCUUCGUCCGUAGCUUCGAUUUCAAGCUUUCUUGCGUAUCAAUGGAUCGAAAGAAAGAAGAAUUCCAAAACUUGUAUGAGAAAAGUUUCUCUUUUAUUAAUCAAAAACAACCAACCUUCUAGAAUACAAGAAGUAGAGUACUUAUAGAAAAAAAACGUCAAAACCCUAACGAAGGCUUGGUGCUAAAGCAACCAAAUAACCGACGUAGCAAAAACCAAAAGAAAGCCCAUAACUAAAUUAAGACUGAAAGCAUAAACGGAAGCUCAUUAAAAGAGAAGUAAUAGAUGUCGCUACAUUAGGUCUCCCGGGGUAAGAAGAAAAUUCGUCCCCGAAUUUUCAUCGACAUCAGAAGCAACAUAAGGAACCAAAUGCUUCACAUUAAACACAUUGGCGGUGUUCAUAUGUGGUGGAAGGCGGAGGCGGUAAGCAUUGUUAUUGAUCUUGGCUAGAAUCUCAAGGGGACCAAUCUUUCGAGACUUGAGCUUGUUGUACGUGACGGGUUUAAAACGAUCCUUAGUGAGGACAGCCCACACCAAAUCACCAACGUUAAACUGGACAUCCCGACGAUGAACAUCCGCAGCAGCCUUGUAUUUUUGGGAAGAAGCUUCUAAGUUCGUGUGAACUUUCUCAUGGAGCUCAGCAAACUGAUCGACAAAAUCACAUGCACGACCGUGAAAACGAGUACGAUCCGGAGAGACACCAAGAUCUAACGACACUCGAGUUAACAAACCAUACACAACCUGGAAUGGGCUAAAUCCCGUGCUCCUGUUCACAGCUCGAUUGUGGGCGAAUUCAGCCUGACAAAUAACAUAAUCCCAUGACUUGAUAUUAUCACCAACCAAACAACGCAACAAAUCUCCUAACGUCCGAUUAGUAACUUCCGUCUGGCCAUCAGUUUGUAGAUGAUAGGCCGAACUCAUAUCUAAUUUUGUGCGUAGAAGACGCCACAAAGAUCACCAAAAAUGACUCAAAAAUCGAGAAUCACGGUCUGAGACGAUAGAUAAAGGAAGCCCAUGAAGCUUGUACACUUCGCGAAAAAACAAAACGGCAUCUUGAACCGCAUCCGUUGUCUUCUUGCAAGGUAUAAAAUGAACCAUCUUCGAGAAACGAUCAACCACAACAAAUAUCGAAUCAUUACCGCUUGAGUCCGAGGUAAUCCCAAAACAAAAUCCAUGCUUAUAUCUGUCCAAGGCUGUGUCGAAAUAGGGAGAGGUAAAUAGAGACUCGGAUUAGUGGCCUUACCUUUAGAUGCUUGACAAAUGCCACAACGAGUGAUGAAGCGCUCCACAUCGCGUCGCAAAGUGGGCCAAAAAUAUGAGGAACUAACAAGCUUCAACGUACGAUCUCGACCAAUGUGACCCUCUCCAUGAAGCUCGCGAAUGAGCUGUAACCGUAAGCUGCCUUCAGAGAUACACAAUUGAGCACCACGAAAUAAGAAACCAUCGAAGAACAAGUAGACGUCACCGAGUCCAUCUUUUGCGUCGCUCCAAAUUUUAGAAAAGAAUGGAUCAAGAGGAUAAAGGUCUGGCAAUGAUUCAAACCCAGUAACCGAAGCAUGUAACAUUGUUAAAAGGGAGUGGCGUCGGCUUAACGCAUCAGCGACCUUGUUAAGAGUGCCGGCCUUGUGUUUUAUCACAAAGGUAAAUUGUUGUAAAUAAGCAAACCAAGAUGCAUGGUGGGACGAAACCUUGUCUUGAGAACCCAUGUGUUUGAGAGCAUCGUGGUCCGUGAAUAGAACAAACUCCUUAUGAAAAAGGUAAUGACGCCAAUGUUUGAUUGCUUGAACAACGGCGUAAAGCUCAACAUCAUAAGUGUUGUACCGUCCUCUCGCUCCUACAAUCUUUCACUAAAGAAAGCGAUUGGUCGUCCCAAUUGACUUAACACCACACCAAUACCUGUUUUAGAUGCAUCACAAUGAAGCUCAAAAGCAACAUGAAAGUUUGGUAACACUAAAACUGGUGUCAUGAUCAACUUGGUUUUGAUCGUAUGAAAUGCAUUAUCCGCGUCUUGUGUCCACACAAAUUGUGUCAUCUUCAUGCAGUCAGUGAUCGGCGACAUAAUGCUGCUAAAAUGAGGCACAAAACGGCGAUAGGAAUGAGGCCAUACCAUGAAAACUGCGGACAUCGGUAAUAGAUUUCGGCACUGGCCACGACUCGAUCGCGCUUACUUUAGCUGGAUCCACUUGGAGGCCUUGUUUCGAGACAAUAUAACCGAGGAAAAGAACAUGCUCCACUCCAAAAGCUAAUUUUUUAACAGCCCCAAACAACUUGUCACGCCGUAGAACAAGAAGAACAUUACGCAAAUGAACGAGAUGCUCUGCAAGAGAUGAGCUAAAGAUUAAAAUAUCAUCAAAAUAAACCACCACAAAUUUACCAAUGAACAGGCGCAAUGCUUGAUUCAUAACGCGCAUGAAAGUGCUCGGCGCGUUGGAUAAACCAAACGGCAUAACCAGCCAUUCAAAUAGGCCUUCGCGUGUUUUAAAGGCCGUCUUCCAUUCAUCGCCAGGACGGAUACGAAUCUGAUGAUAUCCACUCUUUAAAUCCAACUUUGUAAAGAUAGACGCUGUCCCAAUUUGAUCGAGAAGAUCAUCAAGUCGCGGAAUCGGAAAACGAUAGCGCACCGUGAUCUUAUUAAUCGCUCUGCUGUCCACACACAUACGCCACGUUCCAUCUUUCUUGGGAAUAAGUAAAGCUGGUACGACACAAGGACUUAAGCUCUCUCGUAAGUACCCCUUGGACAGAAGAUCUUCGACUUGACGACGAAGUUCAUCAUGUUCUGUUGGACUCAUGCGAUAAUGAGGUCGAUUGGGCAACACCGAAUUAGGUGCUAAGUCGAUGCAAUGUUGGAUGUCUCGUAAUGGAGGUAAACCAUCAGGUAACUCGUCUGGAAAAACGUCCUUGAAUUAAUUCAUUCAAUAAAUCAUGAAAAGCAUCGGGAGCAGCAGCAAAAAUCACGUCAACAGCAGGUUUGACGACAAGCACAACGGCGACGUCAACUUGUUGAAAUUCUUCAAAAAUCAAUGACUUAUUAACCAAUAGCACUUGUUGCGUCAGAAUUGUAGAAACAGGAGGCUUCUCAAUGUCUUCGGUCUUGAUAAGAGGAUCAGUAGACGAUUGAGAUGGUAGUAACGUGAUACGUUUCCCUUCGUACGUAAAGGAAUGCGUAUUAGUGAAUCCAUCAUGCAUUGUUCGACGAUCAUAUUGCCAUGGUCUCCCUAAAAGUAAGUGACAAGCAUCCAUUGGCAGAAUAUCACAAUAAACUAAGUCCUUAUAAUUCAAACCGAUAGAGAAAGGAACACGACAACGCCUAGAAACCCGUGUGUCAGUGGUCGCGUUUAACCAAGCCAAUCGAUACGGAGUCGGAUGAGAUUCUGGAAACAAAGCAAGCUUAGCAACGGCUUCUUCAGAAAUAGCGUUAGUACAACUCCCGGAAUCAAUUAUCAUGCGACAAACUUUGCCACGAAUCGAGCAAGUAGACUGAAAAAUAUUUGUUCGAAGCCAAGAUUCCUCAACUCCACCAGGCAGAAGGUGAUUGCGUCGCAACAUUAACAUCGUACCCGUAUCACUCAUCACUUGUUCUGAUUCCUCAUCUGCCUCUUCAUCAUCUUGUUCGUAAGUAUCAUAAACAGGUUCUUCAGUACCAGUUAAGAGACCUCGCCUGUUCGUAUGAGGACAAGAAGACUGACGAUGGCCCUGUUCUCCGCAUUUAAAACACUUAAAUGUAGUAGAGCGUUGUUGACUUGAAGACGCAACACCCUCAGUACCCUCCAGAGGGCGAAUUUGGUCAGGUGGUUUGCUAGCCACUGUCUCAGCUGAGCGGGUUUGGUUCGCAUUCCAAGCAGGUAACUGACUCCGAGGCUGUGUCUCGAUCAAUAAAGCUCGCUGAUGAGCUUCGGACACAGUAAGGGGACAGAAUUGGAGUAGUAUGUUCUGAAUUUGAAGGCGUAAACCACCAAUAAAACGGGACACCAAUUGUUCUUUUGUUUCCGUCAAAGGAUUUCGAGCUAAGAGGGUAAAGAAUUCUGACGCAUACUCAUCCACCGACUUUGUUCCUUGUCGCAAAUUCUAAAAACGUGUAUACAUGGUGCGUGUGUAGUUGUAUGGAAGAAACGAUCGGCGCAUUAGUUUCUUCAUCUUCUCCCAUGACGUGACGCGUUCUUUACCGGCCUUCAAACGCGUUUCCUUUGUUUGUUGCCACCAAGCUGAAGCACGACCACGCAAACGAGUUUCCACCAAGGGUACUCGCAUCGCAUCAGGUACUUCUUUGAACGCCAACAGCUCUUUUGUCGUACUCAACCAAUCAAGAAACUCUUUAGCCUGCAAUCCACCAGAAAAUUCAGGUAAUUCCAAUUUGAAACCAGACUCCCAUCGAUUGUGAGGAGCUCGUGGCGCUUGGAUAAUCGCUUGUUGUGGAGCAGCUUCGCGGUGCUGUUGUUCGCCUAACCGCGCGAACAGAUUGUUACCAAGGACAUCAUCUUCUUCGUUAUUCUCCUCAAAAGCUUGUUCUUCGUGUCCCUGUUGUGCUUGAAAGAUAGCACGAACCGCUGUUUCAACAGAGACACACAUCGUAUCUCUAAGGCUUUGUUGAAAUUCGGUCAUCAUCCCUCGAAACGCAUCGUUCUGCACUUCUAGUUGCUGUUCCAAGUUCUUCUUUGGAGGCAUGGUGAAGAUCGUUUGGCUCUGAUACCAACUGAUGCGGCGGAUAAAUACGAAAGAGAGGGCUCAAGUAUCGAUGGAUCAAGAGUCUUCAUCCGUAGCUUCGAUUUCAAGCUUUCUUGCGUAUCAAUGGAUCGAAAGAAAGAAGAAUUCCAAGACUUGUAUGAGAAAAGUUUCUCUUUUAUUAAUCAAAAACAACCAACCUUCUAGAAUACAAGAAGUAGAGUACUUAUAGAAAAAAACGUCAAAACCCUAACGAAGGCUUGGUGCUAAAGCAACCAAAUAACCGACGUAGCAAAAACCAAAAGAAAGCCCAUAAGUAAAUUAAGACUGAAAGCAUAAACGGAAGCCCAUUAAAAGAGAAGUAAUAGAUGUCGCUACAUCACUAACUGCACCAACAAAAUACUUAUGUGCUACCCUGAUUAGUUUCUUGUCUGGGGAACAUGCAAGCCUUGAUCGGUAUUGGCCAAAGUCUCCCUUUCCUGCGAACUCAUCACUCCACAGUUGACAGUUCUAAAGUUCCAAGAGAAAGAGCAAUUCGUGGAGGGACUUUUUUUUUCUUGAGCAUCCGCUGGAAAUAUACAUCUAGGAUUGUACUAGCGAUGUCAUCGCUAAUAAGACCUAAAAUCUUUUUCUUUCCGCAAUCAACUUGGCAUGAAUUUUGAACGCUAAUCAGACCCGGCCCUAAGCAUAUACCCAAGAAACAUUUGUAUAGGACCUCAAUUUUUGCUUCAGCUUUUUAGGGCCUAUUUUAAAAAAAUUGUAAAGCUUUUUAGGGCUGAGAAUUAGAAAUUGGGGGCCCACGAUUCAAAUAUAUGUCAAGAAUUUAUAUUUUUAUACUAAGAAAUAAAAAACUCAAGUUAUUUUUAUAAAAAAAGCUAAGAAUUAUUUUUUAAGAAACUCCAAAAAUGCCUCAAAUUUUAGUUUUGUAUUGGGCCCCAGAUUUUUCAGGACAUGUCCUGACGUUAAUACAGAAAAACUGUAUUUCAAUGGAAAACUAAGUCACCAAACACAAAUUGAAUUCAUGUUCAUAAAAUACCAAUUCAAAUCUCACUAGCUUGGAUCUUAGAAAAAGAAACAGAUCCCAAACAUAGAUGAGUACAAACCCUAACAAAUCUCAUAGAGAACUAAAGAAGAAGAAGUUUACACAAAUGAUAUUUUUCUGGUUGUUCUUCACAAUUGAUCAUCACUCUCCUUUAUAGCUUCAGCUCACGAUCCCUUCUAAGAGCAUCUCCAAUGGUGAGAGUCUAUGGUGGGCUCUCACCAUUUUUUUAAGAAUAAAAUUUUCAAAUUUAUGAGAUGAGAGCUUUUAUUAAAUUUUUUUAGUUUUGCAAAGUCCAAUAGUAGGUUCUCUUUGUAGGGUUCUCAGGAAAAAAUUAAAUUAUUUUUUUAAUUAUUUUAUUUCAUAAAACUGAAAAAUAUUACAAUCUAUAUAUACAUUUUUGGAUCACAAUUAGCAAAUAAAUCCUGAAGUUGAGAAGUAUUUACAAUGGCAUGCCAUUAGCAUUAAUUAUUUAGAUUUGUUUUAUUUAAGUAAAGAUUUUUAAAUGAAAUUCAUUUUUUCAUAUAUUUAGCAAAAGUCUCUACAAAAUCUUUCUUUAUCUAUUUAAGUAAAAAUUUUGAAAUCAAAUAUGUUCUCAACAAUUUACCAAAAAUUUCUACACAAUCUUUUUAAAAAUCUCGACUUAGUUAACUUCUGAUUUUUAUCUGCAAAAAAAAAAAUUAAUAUUAACGAGUGAUGUAAAAAUCGGGAAUGUUGAUAUUACAAUUUCUUCUACUUUUUUUUUUUUUUCAUAUAAUGAAAAUUAUUUUUAGGGAUAUUUUCUCAAAACCUCUAAAUAAAACAAAAGGUUUCAAAAAAUAGCUUCUCUUUUGGAGGGUCGACCCGCAAAUCCGCAACUUUCUACGGGCUUAUCCGCAUGAACCUGCGACCAGUAGUGGAUAAAAAUAUUAUUCAAAAAAAAUAACAAAUGAUGUUUAAUUUUACGGGACGGGGUUAUAUGGUGCAACAGGUUUAGAUCAAUAUUAAUAUUAAACAAUAUUAAACAAUAUACGAUGGAUGAAAUCCUAGAAUUAAAAAUCAAAAUUUAAUUAUAAAAUCAGAAACACUAAACAAAAUAAAUAAUAUUAACAAAACAAAUACAACUUAAAAUUUUGCAAAAUAAUUUUUUUGUUGUAAAAAAAUCGACCCGCGGUGUACCGCGGGGUAAAAUCUAGAUUUGGAAGUUUAAGGAAGAAAAAUCUUUUUUUAAAAAUAAUAGCUCCGCGGUGUACCGCAAGAAAAAUCUUUCUCUUAAACUGAGGCAAAAAGAAGAAGAAAGCCAAAUGUCGUUUAAGUGUAUAUAACUAUAUAUAGAUAUACCAUUUAAACCUAAAACACAAUUAAUAUACUCAAAACUAUUAAUAUAGAUAUAUGGAUGGUACAUUUAUAAAAUAGGUCGAAAUAUUAUAUUAUACUCUCUAUUAAUAAACAAAACUAAUUAUAUUUAGAUUUUUUAAAAAAAAAUUAUAGCCCCGCGGUGUACCGCGGGUUCAAAUCUAGUUCAUAACAUAUUAAACAUACAAUAAUUUCAAACAUUUGAAAAUAAAUUUGCAAAAAAAAAAAAAAAAACGAUUAGUUAUUCGGUUCAAUCGGUUCGAACAAAGAAACCAGACAAAUAUAAGAGAGUGGAAACAUGCAAAACCUUCGCUGCAGAAAAUUCUAAUCCUAAAGCAAAAAGGAGAAAGAUAACACCAAACUGAGCUACUGUUUCAACCUGUGCUACACAAAAAAUUAUAAAUCAAAUCGUUGUCCAGGCAAUCUUGUACUCAUGAAAACUUCCAAACGUAUAUGAAGACAACAAAAGAUGAACUUUGAAGUAUAAUAAAGCUGAUGUAAGCUACCUGCACCAUUUCACUAACAAAGCUUAACCCGCCCGGUCCAAUGAUAGAUCCAGCCAAUAGAUACCCAGUAAUGACCUGCCAUAUAAGUAGUGUAGAAAUUAAAUAACACUGUCAUGGUUUGAUCAGUUAAGAGCUAGAAAAAUCGUUUCUACAAUGCCGGAAAGCUGGAUACUCAAUGCUAACAAAAUAAUAUUGAAAGUUACAAGCUUUGCAAAGGAAGUGUGUGCGGACCGGUUGACCAGCACAUGCAAAGGCAAUUCCACCACAAGUAGCAGAAACAAUGACGACGACCAAAUCUGAUAUCAACCUACAAAUGUACCGUUUUAAGAGAGAUGCCCCCAACAAAAAACAGUAAGUUAGAUACUAACAAAAUAUAACCGAACGAAGAACUUAUCUUACGAAUGCUAUACUUACUUUAAAUCUAGCUGCAGUACAGGGUCAUUGGAUUUUGGACUGGACAUUAUAAAAACGUUGUCUUGGAUUAAAAUUGCAGCAAAGUCACAUUACGAGAAUGCUUUUACAAACGAUUACAUUUUUCAACAUAUAUAUCACAAAUGACUUGAGACUAUUUAAGCUUACCUUCCUAUCUAUCAGUCUCGGAGUAUCUUCUACGCCAUUCUCAUUAUCCAAAUUGAAGAACGAUCUAGAACAAAAUACUCAUAUGUUAUAGUUUUCUUUAACCUGUGAAACAAAAUUAAAUAACAUCCACUACUUGCACAAAUCGACUCCAAACAGGGCAAUGCAUGCAUCAGAAAAAACUCACUUCUCCUCCUUGGUCUUGGUUUCAUUUUUCUUAGGCUUAACUCGAGCAACAGUCUCUAGAACAGCCUAAUAAGCAUAACAAAUAGCUUAAUGGAAAGAAAAGACAACAUUGAGUAGUGUGCUGCGUAAGAGCAAUCAAACAAAGAUCAAAUCUUGCAACAACAAACCUGUUAAUCAGCAACACUAUUAUUGAAGCUUCCUGGAUCAGGAACUGCAAAAGCAUUUCACAAAAAACGCAUAUUGAAAGAGUUCACAAUUCAUUAAUUGGUAAAAGCCAUUAACCUUGAGAAAUCUAUAAACCUAGAUAGACUAAAUGUGAGCACAAAGCGUCUAGAGUCUAGACCACUUAGCUAAUCAAUGAUAAAUCCCUAGAGAAGGAUCAAUUAUCACAAAAUUGAAAUCCCUAAAGAAAAACUGAUCUCUGAAGACAAAAACCCUAGCUCCACAGGGAACGUAAGAAAUUGAAGAAAUGCAGAACAAUGAAGAUCUAGUGAGAGAGGAACCUUCGUUCUGGUCAUUAUCAGGAAACUCUUUCUCAAGUGCCCGAUCGAUCAUAUCAGCGAAACUAUCUUCCUUAGGUUUGGCACUCGUGGCAUUGGACCUCAAUCGUCGGAGACAAUCGAUUGUCAUCGCCAUCUCUCGCAAAGAAAGAGAGAGAAACAGUCGGGAAAUGAAAACGUGAAAUGCUUCUUUCCUUUCUUUUUUUUUGACGCUUUUUUUGUUUUUUUUGACAAAAAAAAUCGACGGCUGAGAAUACGCCACGUCAUCGUCUCUCAUACUACUCUAUAUUUCUCUCAAGAGAGCUGUCUCUCUUCAUAAUUCAUAGUUUUGAUUUAUUUUUCAACAUUUUUUUCAAGAGAACCUUGAAAGAGAACCCAAUAAUGCAUCCAUUGGAGAUGCUCUUAGAGCAUCACGUGUCACUAAUACUAAUUCCAAUCAUCUUCUUCUAUUUCUCCACGUCAUUUAUGCAACACAUUUGAGAGUCUCCUUGAUCCAUUUUCCUAUAUCAAACGCCACCAACUGAAACAGAAAAACCAGAAAUAUUGAAUAUAAUAAAGAACAAUAAUAUUGGCUCAAAAAAUAAAGGGUAAUUCUCUAAAAUACCAUCAUUUUUGUUUUUAGGGCAAAAAUACCACAAAACUAAAAUUAAAUUUUUAAUUUUCAAUUUCUAAACUCUAACUCUACCCCCUAAAUAUUAAACCCUAAAUGUACAAUAAUCAACCCCAAUCAAAGAUUUAAAACUCCAUACCAUUGAACAAUAAUUUGGUAUUAGUGGUAUUUUUGGAAACAAAACCAAAAUCAUGGUAUUUUGAGGAAUUCCUCAAAAAUAAAUGAGAUGUUUUAUUUAAGACCGAAAGGAUUUCAUAUUCAUUUAAAAGUAAAAAUAAAUUUGGAUACGAGCUCGUAUCGGUUUUUUAAAGUAUAAUUCAUGAAUAGUUGUAAAAUUUUAUCCACUUUCUCAACUAAAUUUGAUAACUAUUCAUGUACAAAUAUUUUCAUUUUUAUUAUAUGAUAACAGAAAAUGUUUUAUUUAAGACUGAAAAGAAAAUUUGAAACAAAAGAAGAUAUGCAGCCUAUUAUUUUUUUUUAAAAAAAUUUUUGUUUGUUCUUCAAACACAGAAUAGAGAGAGACAUAUGCAGCCUAAUUAAUCUCUUAAGAUCAAGUCUCCAUCUUUCAGUCAAAAAACCGUUUAGAAAAACUAAAAACUGUUGUAGAACUAAUUAUUUUAUUGAUCCUCAAGGGAAUAUAUAGAAGUACAUCGGGAUACAACACAUAAUGAAUAACCCUGAUUGGCUUAUUGGGCCCAGUUAUAAGUCCAAUAUGAUGUAUUAUAACACUCCCCCUUGGACAGAGUAACCGGUCCUGAUGGUCAAUCGGGAUCUCGAUAAUGCGUAGGGGAAUGUUGCCUCAUUAAAACCUUACCAAGAAAACCCAGUGGGAAAAACCAUGGUGAAGGAAAAAGAGUACAACACGCAUUACUCCCCCUGAUUAGAGCAUCACUGUAGAUCUCUAUGUCUACGCAUUCCUAUUUAUUGGAUGAGCUUCCGGAGUGUUGAAGCGGGCAAUCAUUUGGUGAAAAGGUCGGCGGAGUUCUCGCUUGAUCGGACCUGUUGAACGCUGAUCGUACCAUCCUUCUGCCAAUCCGAGGUUGAGAAGAAUUUCGGUAGGAUGUGCUUCGUCCGAUCUCCUUUGAUAUAACCUUCCUUGAGUUGAGCGAUACAUGCUGCAUUGUCUUCAUACAACACCGUAGGCUCCUUGUCUUCGUCCAUACCACAAUCUGACCAGAUGUGCUAGCUGAGUCAUGGAUCGUAGCCAAACACAUUCUCUGCUGGCUUCGUGAAUGGCCAAAAGUUCUGCAUGGUUUGAUGAAGUGGUAGUGGUUGUCUGCUUCAUCGAUCUCCAAGAGAUAGUUGUUCCUCCAUGCGUGAACACAUAACCAGUUUGAGACUUGGCAGUGUGCGGAUCUUGAAGAUAUCCUGCAUCAGCAAAACCAACUAGUCCAUCCUUGUUGUGGUUAGUGUAAAACAGUCCUAAGUCUUUAGUACCUUGAAGGUAUCUUAGGAGGUGUUUGAUACCGUUCCAGUGCCUCUGAGUUGGACAUGAGCUGAAGCGAGCUAGGAGGUUCACGGCAAAGCAAAUGUCUGGUCUAGUGUGACUAGCCAGGUACAUUAACGCUCCUACAGCACUGAGGUAUGGCUUUUCUGGACCGAGAAUUUCUUCAUCGUCCUUCUUGGGACCAAGUGGAUCAAUGUCCAAUUCUAAGCUCCGAACAACCAUUGGGCUGGUCAAUGGGUGGGCCUGGUCCAUGUUGAAUCGCUUGAGUACUUUUUCAGUAUAAGCCGAUUGAUGCACAAGGAUUCCUCCUUUGACGUACUCAAGUUGUAAACCCAAACAGAAUUUAGUUUUACCUAGGUCUUUCAUUUCGAAUUCUGCUUUCAAGCAGUCGACUGUUUGGGAGAUUUCACCAGAUGUUCCGAGGAUGUUUAGAUCAUCCAUGUAAACUGCUAUGAUUACAAAUCCUUUGUUUGAGUAGUUCUUGAUGAAAAUGCAUGGACUGAUGGGAUCGUUUUUGUAGCCUUCUCUGAUGAGAUAUUCACUUAACCGGUUAUACCACAUACGUCCACUUUGUUUCAGUCCAUACAAGGAUUUGUUCAGCCUGAUGCAGUACUGAUCUCGAGAUGCAUGCUUAUCUUUAAGCUCUAUGCCAUCUGGUAAUCUCAUGUAUAUUUCAUUGUCCAGGGGCUCAUAGAGAUAUGCGGUGACAACAUCCAUUAACCGCAAAUCUAUAUUUUCUCUUAUGGCCAGACUUAUGAGGAAUCAAAAAGUAGUUGCAUCCACCACCGGAGAAUAAGUCUCCUCAUAAUCGAUUCCGGGUCUCUGUGAGAAUCCUUGUGCUACAAGCCGUGCUUUAUAACGAACGACUUCACCGAGUUCGUUUCUCUUAAGCACAAAGACCCAUUUAUGGCCCACUGGUUUGACAUUGAAUGGUGUCUGGAUGAUCGGACCAAAAACAUUCCUGAGUUUGAGACUCUUUAACUCCACGUUUAUGGCUUCUUUCCAUUUUAGCCAGUCUGUUCUAUGAGUGCACUGUGUGAUAGACGUGGGUUCUAGAUCCUCUUGCGUGUUCGCAAUAUCAAGUGCUACUUUGUAUGCAAAGAGUGCAUUCAAGUCGACUUCUUUUCUGUUCCAUUGGGUUCCAGACAUGUUGUAAUUGAUAGAGAUCUCAUCGUUAUCGAUCUCUUCAGAACCAAAAGAUUCGGCGUCCCGAACCUCUUUCGGUGGUUCAUUAGAGUGAGUCUCAGCCGCGGCUAUGUCUGUUAUAUUGGGAAUCCCGGUUUCAACUAUUGCACCUUUCUUUGAUUUCCGUGGAUUCUUGUCUUUGGAACCUAGAGGUCUGCCACGUUUAUUUCGUGAUGCAGACUCUGUAGCAACUUGAACUUGUCCCGUUGGGACAGUUAUUCGUACAGGUGCAUUGCAAGCUGGUAUGUACGAUUUGGUUACUUUGUUUGGGUCAGCAAAGGAAUCUGGCAAUUGAUGAGCUAGCUUUUGAUAGUGUAUAAUCUUUUGGAUCUCUGAAUCAUAUUCUAGAGUCCGAGGAUCUUGCCAAUUUAAGGAUGUUUGAUUCCAUGAUAGCUCUUUGAACCAAAUUUUAUUAAAAUUUAAUAUUUUUCUAAGUUAUAGGCACAUUCAUAUUACGUAAAUAAUUUUUUUUUACUAAAAACCAUAUGUAUAUUUUAGAUGACUUUUCUAAGUACAAUCAAACCAAAUCAAAACUGAAAAACCAACCCGAAGUUGAAUCAAACCGAACCGAAACAAAUUCAAAUUAUAAAUGGUUUUUUGUGUUUUAGUUUCUAUCAAAUUACCGUAAAACCUCUAUAAAUUAAUAAAAUUGGGACCAAUGUAUUUUACUAAAUUUUAUUAAUUUAUAGAGGUUUUAUUUGUGCGGUUUAUAUAUGGUGAGCAGUGGUGAUCAUGACAUAACAAUGCCUUUCCAAGCAACUCAGGCCUGGAUAAAAUCUCUAAAUUACUCCAUCACUGAUGACUGGAGGCCUUGGAUGAUAAAAGAUCAAAUCGCUGGGUAAUAUAUAUACAAUUUUUGUUUUAGAUCUCUCUUGUUCAUUUUCUAGACGUAUCAAAAACCUCUCAAACUCACGUAAGAAUCAUUCUUGCCUUUUUCUUGACAGAUACACGAGAACUUUUUCCAAUAAGAUGACAUUUGCUACAGUCAAAGCAAGUCUUCUUAAUUGUUUCAUCUUAACAUUUUUAUUUUUAUUGCAUUUCCAUUUGAAAAAUCUAUUGUAAUUUUAAUUUUUUUGGGGGCGUUUUGAUUAUAGGGAGGUGGACACACGGCAGAAUAUCUACCAAACGAGAGUUCUAUCAUGUUCCAAAGGUGGCUCAGUGGCCAGCCUUUGUAAUAGAGGCUCAUCAUGACUUUUGUCCUUUUGUCUCCUUGUCAUAACCUUGUCGGUCACCGCGUGAUAAUAAAUAAGUUUGCAGAGAAGUUUUUGUUAAUGAACUUUUAUGAAUGAUAAUAUAUCAUACUUGAAUUUGAAUCAUUCUAUUUGAGUUAAAGAACUCGACCCUAUGUUAAGUUUCAUGGGUUUCAAACAUAAUUCAUUAAAGAUUAGUGGAUUAGUCCAUGUAAAAGGUAGAGAGACAUACUUCGAUAUAUAUCAUAACUUUGUGUCUCUGUCUUCCGUACCACCACAAGACUGGUCGUUCUUGGGCUUAAGAGCCCCAAAAUCAUAAGGGAUAGGGAAAAGGUAGCCUAUCAUAUCAAAAGGGCAAUCCAUUCUUAGAAUAUGUGUUUCAUGUCAAUAGGUUAAGUUAUGGGUUCGUCGUUUUGUUUUGAAUCCGUAAAAAAUAGAACGUUGUAAGUUGUAACGUUGGUUAACGCAGCCUGAGAAGUUUUUGACCCCUUUACCUAUUUUGGGUGAGCUGAUAGUAAUUUGAAGAAGAAAAUGAAGAAAUAGAGACCAUAAAAAUGAGAACAUGUGGAAUCUUUUGGUGAAAAAUGUAUUGAGGAUGAUACUUUGUAAUUUGGGCCUGGUCCGGCCCAUAAUUAACAGCAUGAAAAGUAAACCUGUGGGUUAUGGGCCCACCACGCUUCCGCUGCGCCACUCUGAUUUUCUUAAAUAAAUCAGCACUUGCUUAUAUUUAUAUGUUAAUAUACCACAAUCAUUCUUAGCUAAACGCUUUUUCUUUUCCGAAACCCUUUAUAAAGGAACCCUAUUUUACCAUCACCUUUUAUUUGUUAACUUUUCAAAAUCGAUUGUUUCGAUUCAAUGAUUUAACUUUUCACUGUUGAUGUUGGGAUGGGUCUUAAAAUAAAUUUCAGGAUCUCUCCACUGGUGUUAACCUGAAGAGUGAAGACACAUACACAGAUUCAUUAAAUAAAAUUUAUGUGUUCACAAAAAUUGUAGUAUGCCUUGGAGACUCUUUGAAAUAUCCGGACUUUGACAAAUCUAUCUUCUUGGUUAAGGAUUUGAAGUGAGAGGGUUACCUACAUACCAAAGCUACUAAUGUGAAAAGUUAGUGAGAUGCGUUGGUGAAGAUCAUCCUAUUUAGGUUAACUUUCCAAAACAUUUUUAUUUGUAAAAACAAAACAAAUUUAGUUGUUUACUUGUUUAGUGAGUAUUGCUUUAGUAAUAUUCAGUAAUAGUAGAUUCAACAUUUUUAAAUGUAAAAUAUUUUAACAUUAUUAUGAAUUCAUAAAAAUAAAAAAGAUUUUCGUUUUAGAUAAUGUGGAGUAUAGUGUGUUACACAUGCCAAAACUGGACUCCAUUUAUCUUUACCAUCUUUAAGUAGAAACAGAAUGAAUUAUCAUUACCAAUAUUGUGCUUGUUACUAGAGGAAAAACUAGAAAACUUAAACAGAGUUGAACCGAUUUAAGUCAAAAAUAUGAUUCAAAAGAAAAAGAAACAAAUUAAUUCGUUUUCUAAAUCCCUAUAUUCGAACAAAACUGAACAUAAGUUACCAAACGUUUUCUUAAAACAAAACCUUUACACUAAUUUUGUUACUAUGUUCACUAAACCAACAAGGAAAAGAAAAACCAAAGAUCACAUAUAAAAUUACAAAUACUUCAUAAUUUGACAACAUGAAAUACAUUUUUAUUGUUUAUGCGUAAUCAUCAUACCAUUCUUCAUCAUUAGCAUCCAAAUAUUCUUCUUCUUCAUCAUCUAUCUUACCUGGUCCAAGCGAUUCGACCGGGCGAGAAAGGUUUGGAAUGGUUCUUGCCUCACCAACUAUCUUCAUAAUCUCCUCUACUCUUUGAGGAGAAAAGUUAAUAAGAUUAACAUUCCUUUGGUAAUAAAUAGCUUGUGCUGACUCCUUUAGUUCUCUUGGCAAAUUCUUUACGAACCAUGCAUGACUCUUAAUCUCUUUAAGCGUACUUCUCUAUAAUAGUUACAAAACAACAAACAUUUAAAGAAGUUGAUUGGCAGGUAAACAAUAAGGUUAAAAAUCCAUCUAUACUUACAUGUAACGGAUUGGCAACAAAUAUACGAGAUAAUAACUUUCUGCAGUCUUCUGAUAUGUGAACAUAUCCUGGAAUCUUGUACUGUACAGCCAUUAUUUUCUGUAAUUUCCAACCCAAAAAUGACAUAUGAUUGUGUGAUUAUAUAGAUGAUCACUUCGUUUAUUUUAUACAUUAAAAAAAAUACCUGAACAGUUUUUCGGAAAUUGCGAGGGUCUUUAGGGUCUUCGAAAGGAUAAGCUCCUACUAACAUAACAUAGAGUGCCACUCCACAAGACCACACAUCAACUGACUGUAGAAUGAUAUAUAAAUCAAACAACCUCAAGUUAUAUUGUAAAUCUGUAAUCAAUAAACAUUAGUAUAAUUUUUAUUUUAUUUCGAACAAAAAAUCGUGACCUCGAAUUAAAUUUCCUCCGACUUAAGGAGUAGAACAUGUUCAGGUUCGAAUUCUGGUUGUUACAUACUAGUUUUUUGUAUGAAUAGUGGGAUGUAAAAAUAGGAAUGUUGAUCAUUAAAAUUUUUCUUAAAGAAGUCUUGGUUUAUUUUGUUAUACUUAUGUUUAUUUGGAUUUAAAUUUUGUUUUUUCGAAUUAAAACAAAUUUUGAACAGAAAUUAUCGCUUCCAAAAGGUUGAUCUAUUGCUAUUAGACUACCACACAUUUGGUAGUAUGUUUUUCAUUUAGUUACACUUACAGUUGGUCUAUUCGAAAUGGACAAUUGUCCUCUUAGCAAAGUAUAUUGAUAACUUUAAAGGCAACACCACGAAAUAUAAUUGUGCAAGUUACUUCCCAAAACAAAUAUUAAGUUGACCAAUGAACAUUUUGCUGACGUUGGUUAUUUGACAGUGGCCAUUUAAUUUGAAUAGAUAUUGGAUAAAGUCGAUAUAUAGUAGUAUACAAUUUACCAUAGAAGACUAGUAACAAAUGUCAUGUGAAGUGGAUAUAGGAAGCAAGCUAGCUUUUGUCGUUUACUACUCUUUUUCCAUGAAUUAUGGUUUUAUAACUAUUGAAAGUGGAAUGUCCACCUAAAAACACUAUUGAAAGUGGAAUUCAGACUUGUAAAUAUCUUUGUUAUUAGGAAAAAAAAAAUAUAUAUAUAUUCAUCAUUAUUAAAAAUGGAAAUAAUUUAAUUUACCUUUCCAUCGUAUUCCGAUCGACAAAAAACUUCCGGUGCUAUAUAUGCCGGAGUUCCCACCGUUGAUUUUGGGUUGGAAUGCAGAACAGAAGACUGUCCAAAAUUUAGAAAUUAUUAUUAUACAUUCAGAAGUUUAGAUUUUAUGUUACAAAAAUUGAAAAGAAAUGAACUAAUAAAAAUAAAAUAAAAACCUUUGAGUAGCCAAAAUCACAAAUUUUUAAACGUGGUGCUGGGCUUCCAUCAAGCAAUGUGUUUUCUAAUUUCAGAUCUCUGUGGCAUAUUUUCUGCAAAAGUAAAAAAUUUCAUUAAUAAAACCAUAACACAACUAUUAUAAUUACAAUUUGGUGUGUACAAUCAAUUUACCAUGGCAUGUAAGUAAUGGACUCCACAAAUGAGUUGUUGAAAGAAAUAUCUUGCCUGCAAGUAAAAUAAAUAAAUUAAUAGAUAUUAAUGAGGGUAUAAUGAAUCAAAAAUGUGGUAAUCAAAAUUAUCAUCUUAUUUUCGACAAAAUGUAUGUGUCGACAAAAAAAAAACAAGAAUUUCAUUUCCAAACCUCAGCUUCACUAAAUCGACCCGCGCUAGAUAUCCGAUCAAAUAGUUCUCCUCCAGCUGCGUACUCCAUUACAAUCCCAAGAUGUGUCGGAGUUAGAACAACCUAAAUCAUCAACACACCAAGUUUCAAUAUAUUUUUUAUUAGCGUCAAAGUGCCAUAUUUUUUGAAGUUUCCUAUAUCGAAUAAAAUCUUUGGACCUUUCACGAAGUUAGAAACGAGUUUUAGGAGAAUCCGAAUUCAAAGUCAACGACGAGACAGGUUUUUGAAUUAUGUGAACUAAGAGAUUCGAGUAAAGGACAAAAAUAAAUAACCUAAUAUUCACUUCCUUAACGAACUAAAAUAUUUCACUUGCCUCUUUAAACCGAACACUAUUGGGAUGGUUGAGAGCUCUAUGAUUGAUUAUUUCUCUUGCAACGUUCUCAUCUAUCUGCAUCAAACAACAAGUUUGGUAACAACCUCAAAGUUCUUAGUAUCAGAGAAAAGAACAAACAAACAAAAAAAAUAACUAAAAACCUUAUAGCCUCGAUCGAUGAAUUUGACAGCCACAAGCUCGUUUGUUUGCUUAUUACGCAUAAGCCGAGCCAAACCGAAAUUACCAAAUCCCAAAUCCUUCACCAUCUCAUACUUCUCCAUCGUUACAACUACUUUUUUGUUCUCACUUCCUUAAAAUGGUCCUUUAAUAUCUUUUUUUUUUUUUGAUGAAUCUUCUCUUCCAAAAUAUCUUUAGAGACUAGAGAUAUAUAUAUAGAGAGAGAGUGGGAAAGAACGAAGUUAUUAAAUCUCACACACAAAAAAAAAGUAAUUUAGUUUACACGUAGCAAAUAUGACGAAUACUCGAAUAAAAGUGUUGAAACUUGAAAGAGCUUUUCAGGAUACCUAAUAGACAUUUCUUAAGUCUACUAAGCUAUGGACCCACCCAUAUAUAUAUAUCAAUUUUUACCUCUACAAGUAUCACUUUUACUAUUUCUUGUAUGGGUUUAAAGAUACUCGAAACUGUUGAAAUUUACCUCUCAAGCAAGAUUAGAUCAUUGGAUUGUGGUUUUGAAGUUUUGAAUAGGCUGCAUACGCGUCACCGUUUACAUGGAUGUGGUAUUCAUAUAUCUCACAAUUCUUCUCCUUGGUUCACGAUUACAUAUUAUUAAUUAUAGUCUCACAUAGGAUCAGAUGAAACUCUAAUGACACCAAGAACAUCUUACAAGGUUCAUAUGACUACUUGUAUCGACUAUCGAGCAAUUGAAACGAUUUUCAUCACUCAAAAACAACUUAAAGAUCAAUGAACCAAAAAAAACAAUCUUGAUAAAUUCAGUUCGUAGAAUUUAGUUGUUGCUGAAAGAAGAAGCUGAUAUUGUUCCAUCACUUAAACAGAGACAUGGAAAUCUUCAUUGUGUUGGCUUUUGAUUCUUUUUCCUUUUUCUCACAUAUACGAUUAACUCCCUCGAUGUACUGGAAGUAUCUUCGGCUUCCGCUUCCACUUCCACUAUUUCUUUACCUUGUGACACAUUUUGAGUCUCCUUCGUUUUCUUCAAAAGAACCAACAUCAAUCUCAAUCAAAUCCACCAUGAACAUCUUCAAAAAACAACGAUCAUUAAACAAACCUUCUUAUUUAAGCGAUGUGUAGACAUUAGCUCAUAGAAUUUCCGCAUCAUCAUCUCUUCUUCCACCUAAACAACAAAUGUACGUGAGAUUGAAAAGAGCUAAUGUACACUAAGUUUCAUCAACAAACCUCGAGUUUUUGAAGUUCUUGAGUCAUGGUUUUACGAGUUUCUGUGAGCAAUUCAUUUUGCUUCUCCAAAUGGCUGUUGAUGUGCUGCUAACAACAGUAAAUCAUCAUACGCAUACACACGAAAAUAAGCGUAAAACUGUAACAAAAAGACGCACUUUAAUAGAUCGUCGGUAUGAUUAGGAUCCAUGUUCACAAAAUGAUCAACUUCUUCCUAUACUGGUCUUCAGCUGAUCACAAUGAAUCAAAAUUUCAUGAGAAGAUAAUUGACAAAAGCAUAUAAAAAGCACUGAUUCAUCCACACACAUAUCACUAGAGAAGAUAUGAUUCUAAAAAUCUGAAGGGUAUGAUCACAAAUUCGAACAACAGCAAAACCCAGAUAAUUAUAUCAUUCAAAUUAGCUGAUUAAAGGAAGAAACAUAACGAACCAAACAAACAUGAGAACAAAAAAACACAGAUUAAGAAAAGGAAUAUCUUACUUAGACAAUUCGUCGAGCAACUGGUGUGCAUAUAUAGAUAAAUUAUCAAAAAGGAAGUUCUUUUAUUAGUAAAAAAUCUUGAAAAUUCAAGUACGUACCCUUUCGUCGAAUUCUUAUAACUUCACCACCAAUAACAACACUUGACGAUUGUCUUCUUCUCUCUCACACACUCGUUUGUGUCCUGCAAUCUCUCACCCAAAAUCAAGUCCUCUCUUCUACAAUGGAGUUGACUGGGCUAAUGGGCCGGUCCAUUGUACUUUGGGCCGAAAACCAUUUUUUGUGACAUUGUUGGGAAACAAAUUUACGUCCUAUAAAAUAAUUGUCUAAUAUAUACUGUAAAUCAAAUUUAACUUAAAUUAAUACGAGAUUUUUUGCGAAAAAACCCCAAAAACAAAUCUGUGCGGGCUUGACUAAAUGAUUUAGAACAGAAAAUUUCAUACAGUUGACUAAAUGUAACAUAACACACUUGGUAUAGAUAGUUGUAGUUGUAUUUUUUCUUUAAGGGUUCUUUGAACCACUCCAAGAUUUUGAUCCUUGAUUAAAUUUUAAAGUAUGUUAAAAAGUAGAAAAUAUGUGUAUCUCUGACUUCUCUGUUGUUAUGCUUUUCGCUUAACCAUCUUUAUAGAAAACAUACAAAAAGAUUUGAUUCGUUUUGUCCUUUGAAUAAAUGUUACCAAGAAAUUCUGGUUACUGCAGAGAACUGCUUAAAACACUUAUUUUUUUCCAUUAUUUUUUUCAUUCAUCACCCAAAUCACAAAGAUGCAACCAUUGGAUUCGUUUUUUUUUUUUUUUUUUGCCGUAGUCAAAAAUCUUGGGUUUAUUUUUUAACAUUACACAAUGGGCAACCAAAAAGAGGAGUUCAUGUGCUAAGCACUUAGAAAAAAAAAAGAGUUAAAAAAACAAACAAACAAGCGUGGUGUUUGGGUUUUCGAGCCUUGAGAGGUUGGUGGGUGUGUUGUUGUGAAUCUCUAAGUUUUCUCUGUAAAUUAUAUAUUUGUUUACAUGUAUAUAAAACAAUCUUUCUUGUGAAGUAACCCUUUUAAGCUUUCUUGAGAGCAAGAUUGUGCAUAGAUCUCUUCUUAGCUUUGUUUCUCUUUUGUGUUUAACGAUCUUGAAAGUCUUGUAACUUCUUAAAAGAGAGACAGAAAAAAAUGAAGUUUAUGAAACUUGGAACCAAGCCUGAUUCAUUUCAAUCUAAAGGAGACAAUGUUAGGUUUGUAGAAAACAGAUAUUUACCUCUAUGUCUCUUUAAGCAAUGUUUUUCUUAGAAAUUGUCUGUUUUUUGGCUCUUAGGUAUGCAACAACUGAGUUAGAAACAGAGAUCAUCAUCAUCAUAGGCAAUGUCAAAUUCUAUCUGCAUAAGGUAUGCAAACAAAAUCUACCUUUUAAAACAUCAAAGAACAAGCAAAAGCAAGAGUGUUUAUGUUUUGUGUGUGUGUUUUCAGUUCCCAUUGCUGUCGAAAAGCGGAUUCUUGCAGAGACUCAUAGCAACAUCAAAAAAUGAAGAGGAGAAGAAGAACCAAAUUGAUGAGAUUGACAUAUCAGAGAUUCCUGGUGGUUCUGUUGCGUUUGAGAUUUGUGUCAAGUUCUGUUACGGCAUCACGGUUACUUUAAACGCUUACAAUGUAGUAGCAGCUCGUUGCGCGGCUGAGUUCUUGGAGAUGAAUGAAACGUUUGAGAAAAGCAAUCUUGUUUACAAGAUUGAUGUUUUCUUGAACUCAACCAUCUUCCGUAGUUGGAAAGAUUCUAUAAUUGUGCUUCAGACCACAAAAGAUCUCUUGUCUAAUUACUCAGAGGAGCUCUUGAAGCGUUGUCUUGACUCUAUUGCUUCUACAGCUUCGAUAGACACGUUGAAAGUCAAGUGGUCUUACAGUUACAACAGGAAGAAGAAGCUUGAGAACGUGAAAAAACCAGAAGAUGCGGUUCCAAAAGACUGGUGGGUAGAAGAUUUAUGCGAUCUUCAUAUGGAAUUGUAUAAACAAGCCAUUGAAGCAAUCAAGGCGAAAGGGAAAGUCCCGAAUACCGUUAUUGGAGAAGCGUUACACGCUUAUGCAAAAAGAAGAAUAGCUGGUUUUAGUAAAGGCUCAAUGCAAAUCGUUGAUAAAUCUUUAACUGAUACAAUCAUUGAGCUUAUACCAGGUGAGAAAAGAAGUGUUUCUUCUAGUUUCUUGACCAAGUUACAUCGAGCAUCGAUCUUUCUUGGAUAUGAAGAAACAGUGAAAGAGAGGUUAAAGAAAAGAAUCAGUGAGCAGCUUGAAGAAACAACAGUGAAUGAUAUCUUGAUGUAUGAUUUGGAUAUGGUGCAGAGCCUAGUGAAGGAGUUUAUGAACCGUGAUCCGAAAACUCAUUCGAAAGCAUCUGUUGCAAAACUCAUAGAUGGAUACUUAGCUGAGAAAUCAAGAGAUCCUAAUCUUCCUCUUCAGAACUUCCUCUCUCUCGCGGAGACACUCUCUAGCUUCCCAAGACAGUCUCAUGACGGGUUAUAUCGCGCCAUAGACAUGUUUCUCAAGGUAAAACAAGAUCCAUAUUCACUUGUAGUUUCUCAUAAAGAUUCUUGAUUUUUAAUGGGUUUUGAUUUGGAAAUGUUCAGGAACAUUCGGGUGUUAGCAAGAGCGAGAAGAAGAGAGUAUGCGGGUUAAUGGAUUGCAGGAAACUAUCAGCGGAAGCGUGUGAACAUGCUGUGCAGAACGAACGUUUGCCAAUGCGAGUGAUAGUGCAAGUUCUCUUCUUUGAACAGCUCAGAGCCAAUGGUUCAUCAACAGGAUACAGUACUCCUGAGCUCACCACAACGACUCUAAACACUGAGGAUGAUGAAUGGGACCAUGAGAAAGAGUUUUGAUCUCAGCAUUAUUGAAUCUUUUAUCAUAUGUUUCUUCAGAACUUUACAUCAAACUUUGAGUUUUUCCUGGUUAUUGUUUUUCCUGAAUUGGAAACAUUUUGGUCCUGACCUUCGUAAAUGGGUCAGGUAGUAAUGGGUUUUGUGUCUGGGCUUGAAGCCGUUCCAAUCUCAAUUUUUAAUGAGACUAAAAUCAGAGAAAACUCUCAUUUGUAUUUGUCCGUAACCCAAAAGAAAAACCGCAAUUAUCUAUAAACCAAUUAGGGGUCGAUUGGUUGAGAUUUUUACUGUAAGCUUUAUUUUAAAUUCAUGACUGUAAAAUUUAUGAUUUUAGAAAAUAAAUCGUAAUUUUUAAGAAAAUAAAGUCAUAUUUUGUUAGCUUUAAAAAAAGUUGCAAUGAGUAUUUCCCUCCAUGGUCUAUGUUAAUUUUACAAAUGGUAAACAGAAAAAAGAAACAAAUUAUCUAUAUUAUUAAAACUGAAGUAUAUUUGACAAAGAAAGUUUGGAGUUGGAACUUAUUUAAAGGCAAUGAUAUUGGCAUUUAUUUAUUUUUAAAUUAUUCUCUCAAGAAUCUUUAUCAUUUAUCUUUAGUAAAGUAAUGGUUACGGCGGAAUUUAAAUUAAAAUCAAUUUUAAUUCGAUUUUGAUUCAUUUAUUUAUUUAAGAAAAAAAGUAUUUUUUGGAAUAUGUUGUGAUUCGAAUUUUUAAAAAUAGACAUACUUUACUCAAAUAUGAUAAAUAAACGUUUUAAAAAAUAAUGUAAAAAUUGUAUUACAACAUAAAAAUUAGCGGGAUGGUGGAAAUUUAUAUUAGAAUAUAUAAUAAAAAAAUAUUAUACUAUUUUAGUACUAUGAAUAUAAAAAACUAAAAACAUAAUUUUGUCAAAAUUUUAAAAUUUACUAAAUACUAAACUAUGAUAUAACUUAUAAUGGAAACCGUUUUUGUGGAAAAUUCAAAAAAGGAAAACAAGCAUGUGGUAGUCAUGUGCUACGGUUAGGGUUGUUGCAACAAAAGAAGGAGGGCAAUAACGUCUUUUCUCUGAUAACUCAACUCAAUCAGUGUCUUCUUCUUCUUCAGUUUGUUACAGAGCGAUUAAGAGAGAGUGAGAGAUUCUUGGGGUUGGGUAGUGAGAGAGAGAGCUUGAGAACAAGUUUGUAAAGGAUACGUUAUACACCAAGUUUCUAGUGGAUUCUGGAGAAGAUUCUCCGGCGAGAUGUAGGGAAUCCGGCAAGGAUCCCGAACUCGUUAAAUCUGUGUGUUCUUGCUUUUGUUCUUCUUUUGAUUCAUUCCGAGAUCUCAUCACAAAGAUCGAUUCAAGUAUUGGUGAGCUCAGUUCGAUUAUAAACCUUCACAAAUUGGUAUCAGAGGCUCUUCGAUUUCAUGGAAGACGGUGAAGUCGUUAAUCGAAAGAAUCGGAGGAUUUGAAUUAUUCAACAUCGCGACUUAGGAGAAGAAAAUAAGAAGAUGUUGCGAUGUCAAGAACGAUGGAAGAAGUGAACUUGUGACUGUUCUUGGAAGAAGACGUGGUAAGUUGAAGAAAGAAAAUCAAUGGAGUUAUCCCAAUCAGAUCAAAUGAUUUCUGGUUUGUGAAAUCAGUUGAAUCGUAAGUUAUUCUCUCUCUAAGAAUCAGAAAUUUGACAUCUAUGGUAGUUCUAGUUCAAGAAUUUGCUGGGAACGAUGUUGAAAUCACGACAAGUAUAAGAUCGUUGUAGUCUGGAUCGAAGCACAAGACAUCAUCAAGACUCAAAACUUUGUGAAAUUAAGUAUGCAUCCGCUGCAAGUCGCAAGGUUGUAAAAGCACAAGUUUGUAUGUUCACUGUGCAAGGUUGUGAUGUUAUGAAAUCUUCAAGUCUGUAAAGAAAAGAGCCAAGAUUUGUUAAAGCACAAGUUUGUAUGUUCACUGUGCAAGGUUUUUAGCUAAGAUUUUACACUAGGUGUUAGUGUGGUUUCUGGUUAAGGCAUUGUGGGAGUUUUUUUUAUUCAAACUUGGGUUCAAGAUUAGUAAAGAACAGUUACUGGAAGCUCAUAAAAGUCGGGGACGCCUUGGUUGCUUGAUUGGUAUAUGGGUUCAUGGUUGUUUGGACAUCAGUUAAGGCUCAGCAUUUAAAGACAGAAAUUGCAGGAUUAUUCAGGAAUAAUCAGGGAGUUUGCUUAGUAAAGUAAGUUGAUGAUUUAGAGGAUUUCAAGUAUUUGCCAGAGUUUUGAGAAAUAGUUUGUCAAAAGUUAAGUCUCAGAGUUAGUUAUCAGAUUCUUAAAAGAUCGCAAGGACUCCAAGUAUAUGGUGAUCAAAGGUUUGAACAUAGGUCAUCAAUGAGUGAGUGGCAGCUAGGACAAUCCAAAGAUGGAGAAAAACAGGGACACCAAGAAGUAACAAACAAAUUCUCAACUAAAGAUGGAGAAACAUCUUGUGUAAGUAAAUCAAGAUGUGACCGGCAUAAGCCAGUAAGAAUAAAACCAAGGAAAUGUAAAUUGGUUAUUGGUUCUUAUGGCUCAAGUCUGAGAGUCAAGAAGAAAAGUGGAUCAGCUGGUUAUAGGAAUAUCGAGACAUGAAGACUCAAGUUUAAAGGCAUUGUUCGGGUGUUUCUACAGCUAUAACAAGUUAACAGUUGGUCUGUUGGUCUAUAAGACAGACUAAAGUAUUCAAUCUGAAAUCAUAAAAUCAGAAUGAGAGAGCUUCAUUAGAAGCAAGUGGUUCUUGGAGAGUCUUCUAGAUAUUAAAGAGACUGUUGGUGUAGCUACAAAGUGGAAAGAAUUAUAGAUAUAUCAAGUGUUAAUGUCUAUACAGUCGAGCACACAGAGAUUUAUGAUUGAGAAUCAUAAGAGACAGUGAUGAAGAGGUUGUUAGCUCAGCAAGUUAGAACAAAUGUUGAGAGAUACAAGUAAUUAUGAAAGAUCUAAGUUUCCGGUGGAGCCACUAGUGUUACAGAAAUGUGAUACAUAUUCAUGAAGAUGGUUUGUGAUUCCAUGUGGAGCUAUACAAUUAAAGAGUAUCUCCAGUUAACUUAAGUGCGGAGACAUGGGCUGAGUAAACAGGUUUAUCAACUCAUCAGGUUUGAUUUAUGAGAAGAAAUUAGUUACUGUUUGGGUAUGAUUCAGGUUGGUCAAGUGUGUGUGUUGAAGACAGAGGUUCGAGAACAGGUUAAGAUGUCAGAAAGGUUCAAGCAUAAUCAUGUUGCAACAGGAGUGAAGAAUAAAGUUUUCAGGGGGACUGUUGGAAUAUAAUUGAGUUUCUUAGUAAUGUUUUAAGUUUUAACUGAUUUCAUGCAUUAAGUGACGUGUCUUUUACAUGUGUGAAGAGUUACAACUCUUAGUUUGUGUUGUUUCAUGUUGUGUCUUUCCUAGUCUAUAUAAAGACAUUGUCUGUAAACUACAUUCAGUUUUCAUAUUAAUAAAGUUGUGUUUUCUGAGAAAGAGAAUAUCGUUUCUCAUACUCUGUUUUCUUCCUUAUUGUCUUGAGAAUCAAAGAUCAACACUAACGAAGCGAAGCGGGAGGCUGAGAGGCUGCAGAGGAUUGUACUAGCGAAAAUGUAUAAGUCUGAGGAGGAAUACGCAACGCAAGUAACAGAGGCUGAGCGAGGCCGAGGCAGAGACGCAGUAUCUGUUUGAGAAGAUUAAGCUGCAGGGAUAUUCGUCCCGUCACAGGUGUUGAUGUACUCAAAGAUCUCUGCUUCAAGGAUACAAUCUCUCGCCCAAUCCAAUCCUUGAGGGUAUGAAUUUUAUUUUUCUUUUCUACAACUCUUUCAUUAGCUUUGAGCUAAUCUAACUCUGAUUCUCUGGUAAGAACUCCUUGUUUUGAUUAGUCUCUAGGUAGCAGCAACUUUCAAU
This 30338-nucleotide long non-coding RNA is filed under the name Arabidopsis lyrata. RNAcentral's name for it is "long non-coding RNA (ALYR_LNC001877)". Lineage: Eukaryota; Viridiplantae; Streptophyta; Magnoliopsida; Brassicales; Brassicaceae. The record is from RNAcentral.